RNAcentral lists this ribosomal RNA (254 nucleotides) under uncultured bacterium. RNAcentral describes it as "partial 16S ribosomal RNA". It matches the Rfam family "Bacterial small subunit ribosomal RNA", at positions 524 to 776 of the family's 1533-position model. The record is from RNAcentral.
UACGUAGGGUGCGAGCGUUGUCCGGAAUUAUUGGGCGCAAAGAGCUCGUAGGCGGUGUGUCACGUCGGCCGUGAAAACCUGCAGCUUAACUGUGGGCGUGCGGUCGAUACGGGCAUCACUGGAGUUCGGCAGGGGAGACUGGAAUUCCUGGUGUAGCGGUGAAAUGCGCAGAUAUCAGGAGGAACACCGGUGGCGAAGGCGGGUCUCUGGGCCGAUACUGACGCUGAGGAGCGAAAGCGUGGGGAGCAAACAGG